Molecule: non-coding RNA, 2533 nt
Organism: Paramormyrops kingsleyae
Lineage: Eukaryota; Metazoa; Chordata; Actinopteri; Osteoglossiformes; Mormyridae
Source: RefSeq, a predicted model, not a curated record
AUUGCAGUAUUGUUUGUCCUGUAUUGCAGUAUUGUUUGUCCUGUCCCCUGAUGCCCUAUCCUGCAACUGCAGCAUAAGAAUUUCCUUGUGAUCCUUGGAACACAUGUGACAAUAAAACUUCAAAGUUGUUUGUUUCGGUACAUCAGUGUUCAGGAAAAUGGAGUGGGAAUUCAAACUUGUAGGUACUGGGGAUAAUGUGCCUUGUGUCCCUUUCUGAUUGGCUUGUCUUUCAGAGGCUUCAGGCCAGCUUGAGGUACAGCUAUUAGUUACCACUUCGCGGCCCUGCAGAGUUUCUGUGAGAGCCGCUUCCUUUCUUUAUGUCGGUCCUCAUGGAGAUUAGGAGGGGAUCAGCGUGUGCUGGUUCAGGUUACUUGUGGUCAGUGCUCACUCAGCAGAUCUGUCAAGGAAGGCAGGGCGUGGCCAUCUUGGGGUGUGAUCACUGGCACCUGAGAGCGACCCUGGUGACCCCGUGACCCUCAUUUCACUGAUCCUCCUUCAUGGUCUUCUGAUUAGCACAAACGCCACGCGCUGUGGGUUCGAUACCCGCCCAAUUUCUCAUCGUCGCCCAGCUUGACGGUGGGCAUCAUGGGUGCCACAAGCUUCCUCGACAAAAUGUCCUACGCCGCCACUAACAGAGACCGACGAGAGAGACCAAAGUAUUACUACAUUUUACCCUGCCCCUCUGCUCUAUGUACUUAAGUUAUUUUAACAUGUCCUCUACAUGUUAGCACAAGCUAAGGCAAUAAAAUGUUUACAAAAGCCGUCAGGUACCUCAGGGUCUGACACCGUAUACCAUCUUCUGAGAGCAACGCGAGUGUCUUUAAUUUUAUUGGGUGUUGCGUAAGUGCCAUUUGCUGCUUGGCCAAGGACCUCAUUCUGUAACAACUCUUCAUGCUUGACUGGCUUCUUUAUGUUAAAGGGCCGGAGAUACUAGUUAUAUUUAAUGGGCACUAACUCUCUGCUUGUCCUCGUGUUUCAGAAUUCAGCGUUUCACAUUCUGGUCAUUUCCAUUGUGUCCUACAUGGAAUCGCGUCGGUCUGCUGUGAUCCCCGGCUGUUGAGCGACAGGUGCUGAAAGUCAUGCAGAGAAGCUGUGGUGUCCUGCUGGCAGACAGCUGCGGGGCGGGAUGGGUUAGAGACAGACAGUUGAGGCUAAGAACAUAGAUGGCAGCCAACAGGACUGACAGCAUGCCGAUUGGACGAGCAAACUGUCACAACUCAAACAGGUCCAGGAUUGGUCAGUUAUUUUCAGUUUAGUUCAUAUAAUUUACACUGGUGCACUGUGAAUACCUACAACAUAGCCACAAAAAAAUCCAUGUCAUAGGUCAAUCACUGUCACAUGACCACAUUACACACGCAGAUUGUGUUUUUUUUAGCCUUUUUCUGUUUUCCUGACCUUUUGCCAGUGAAAUGUAUUCGGGGUGUCAGGGGUGGUCAUGCAGUGUCUAUUUAGCUUUUCCCAUGUGUGACAGACAAAGUUGAUGAUAGGGAAAGUAGUUUGAGAUCUUGCCAGGGGGGCCUGCAGGAUUAUCUGCCCCCCCCCCCCAACACACACACACACACACACACACACACACACUAGGUAUCCAUAUCAUUCUGGGGACUCUCAUUUCUAUGGGCAAAACCCUAAUCCCAACAGAGAUAGCCUUAACCCCUACCCAGCCCUAACCUUAACCAUAAGUAACCAAACAACAUACAAGACUUGACACUUUUACUUUUUUGAUUUCAGUUGCAAAUUUUUAUAAAAUUCAGGGACCAAAAUAAUGUUCCCCGCAAUGUGAAAAUAACAGGUUUUUAUCACAUUGUGGGGACAUUUGGUCCGCACAAUGCAAUCGAUACAUAAGCCACACACACUUAUCUGACAUGCAUUAAUGUGAAAUUUUGACAGAUAUCGAUAACUGAUUUAUUUCUGUUUAAUAUCGCCACUGGUGGUGAAAUUUGCUGACCUAGUAGGCACAGAAUGACAUUACAUCAUUUUUUAAAUUCUGUGAUAAACGAAAGAUCAAUCUAUGGAUUAUAGAUAUUUUGCAGGCCGGUAUCGUGAGGCCUCUGAAAAGUGACGAAUGGGCCGACGAAAUCCCUCGUCUUCCACUGCGGAAAGAGGCUGUUUGUCCAGUGCUGUCAUGUUAUUCUGGUGGUUGUGUUUUUAACUCUGGUGCUGCUAACUUGAGCAACUUUGUUUACUGAGAAAAUUGUGACCUUGAUUUUGAAUCACAAAAAGUCAGGAUUCAUAUUUUACCCAGAAUUGUCCAGCCCGACUCUUUUUACAUUUCUGUUGCAGGUGUAGCGAGGCAAAAAAAAAAUCUGAAUGCAUGCACAGGGCGUCCAGGCAUACAGCUGCAGGCGCCCAUGGGAUUUGCCACUGGAUGUCUGCUUCACUGCAAGUUUACGCUUGUACAAGUAUCCAGCGGAGCAACUGGGAAGGUAGCACUGCAUUUUGACAGCACAGAUCCCUAAUCUGAAUCAGCCUCUAGGUCUGCCAAGAGGGCGAAGCCAAGGUCAGCACUGCUGAAAAUACAGAGACAUCUCCCUAA